RNAcentral lists this long non-coding RNA (565 nucleotides) under Zea mays. RNAcentral describes it as "long non-coding RNA (ZMAY_LNC000300)". The record is from RNAcentral. Lineage: Eukaryota; Viridiplantae; Streptophyta; Magnoliopsida; Poales; Poaceae.
CCAGGUGGGUUGGCCGAGGCCCAACAAAUUAGGGUUGCCCGGAGCCCAACAGUUCAUUAAGCACACCCAACUCAGGGAAAGGCCUAAUCGCCCCAAAAGACUAGUCCAAUGGGGGAAGGGUGACUCUCCCUUUCAAAGUGGCUUCCUCCUCCCAAGUUAAGCGAGGUGGGAUAAUUCUGAGGCUCACACGGUCGCCGUCCGACUACAAUUGGGCCAACUGGGCCAAUUGUGUCUUUGCCAACGGGUAAUAGUGGAGGAUGUCCUCAUCAUUCCCACCUUCUUAAAAUGGGCCCUAGCUCUAAUACCAGAUGAUACACCCAUCCCAGGUGGGGUUGGCCGAGGCCCAACAAUUUAGGGUUGCCCGGAGCCCAACAGUUCAUUAAGCACACCCAACUCAGGGAAAGGCCCAAUCACCCUAAAAGACUAGUCCAAUGGGGGAAGGGUGACUCUCCCUUUUAAAGUGGCUUCCUCCUACCAAGUUUAGCGAGGUGGGAUAAUUCUGAGGCUCACACGGUCGUCGUCCGACUACAAUUGGGCCAACUGGGCCAAUUGCGUCUUUGCCAAC